AACGCACAUUGCGCCCGGUGGUAUUCCGCCGGGCAUGCCUGUUCGAGCGCCUCUAUCAGCCCGCAAGCCUCGGCUUGGUAUUGGGGAUUGCAGGUCACCUGCAGCCCUAAAUCUCAAUAGCGAUACCAGGUGGUUCUAAGCGUAGUACAUACCCCGCUACAGGACUCUCCUGGUCUUCUGCCGUAAAUGGUGCAAGCCCAUUCUAAGGUUGACCUCGGAUCAAGUAGGGAUACCCGCUGAACUUAA
Molecule: unclassified non-coding RNA, 246 nt
Filed under: uncultured fungus
Lineage: Eukaryota; Fungi
Description: partial contains 5.8S ribosomal RNA, internal transcribed spacer 2, and large subunit ribosomal RNA
Source: RNAcentral